Molecule: ribosomal RNA, 462 nt
Filed under: uncultured bacterium
Lineage: Bacteria
Description: partial 16S ribosomal RNA
Rfam family: Bacterial small subunit ribosomal RNA
Source: RNAcentral
GAUAAACGCUGGCGGCGUGCUUAACACAUGCAAGUCGAACGAAGUUUUUCUUUCGGGAGGAACUUAGUGGCGGACGGGUGAGUAACGCGUGGGUAACCUGCCCUGUACAGGGGGACAACAGCUGGAAACGGCUGCUAAUACCGCAUAAGCCCUUAGCACUGCAUGGUGCAUAGGGAAAAGGAGCAAUCCGGUACAGGAUGGACCCGCGUCUGAUUAGCCAGUUGGCAGGGUAACGGCCUACCAAAGCGACGAUCAGUAGCCGAUCUGAGAGGAUGUACGGCCACAUUGGGACUGAGACACGGCCCAGACUCCUACGGGAGGCAGCAGUGGGGAAUAUUGCACAAUGGAGGAAACUCUGAUGCAGCGACGCCGCGUGAGUGAAGGAGUAUUUCGGUAUGUAAAGCUCUAUCAGCAGGAAAGAAAAUGACGGUACCUGACUAAGAAGCACCGGCUAAAUACGUG